Molecule: ribosomal RNA, 468 nt
Filed under: uncultured bacterium
Lineage: Bacteria
Description: partial 16S ribosomal RNA
Rfam family: Bacterial small subunit ribosomal RNA
Source: RNAcentral
GACGAACGCUGGCGGCGUGCUUAACACAUGCAAGUCGAACGGAAAGGCCCUGCUUUUGUGGGGUGCUCGAGUGGCGAAUGGGUGAGUAACACGUGAGUAACCUGCCCUUGACUUUGGGAUAACUUCAGGAAACUGGGGCUAAUACCGGAUAGGAGCUCCUGCUGCAUGGUGGGGGUUGGAAAGUUUCGGCGGUUGGGGAUGGACUCGCGGCUUAUCAGCUUGUUGGUGGGGUAGUGGCUUACCAAGGCUUUGACGGGUAGCCGGCCUGAGAGGGUGACCGGCCACAUUGGGACUGAGAUACGGCCCAGACUCCUACGGGAGGCAGCAGUGGGAAAUAUUGCACAAUGGGCGGAAGCCUGAUGCAGCAACGCCGCGUGCGGGAUGACGGCCUUCGGGUUGUAAACCGCUUUCGCCUGUGACGAAGCGUGAGUGACGGUAAUGGGUAAAGAAGCACCGGCUAACUACGUG